RNAcentral lists this ribosomal RNA (253 nucleotides) under uncultured bacterium. Its description in RNAcentral is "partial 16S ribosomal RNA". It matches the Rfam family "Bacterial small subunit ribosomal RNA", at positions 524 to 776 of the family's 1533-position model. The record is from RNAcentral.
UACGGGGGGGGCAAGCGUUGUUCGGAAUUACUGGGCGUAAAGCGUGCGUAGACGGUUAUCUAAGUCGGAUGUGAAAGCCCCGGGCUCAACCUGGGAACUGCGUCUGAUACUGGAUGGCUUGAAUCCGGGAGAGGGAUGCAGAAUUCCAGGUGUAGCGGUGAAAUGCGUAGAUAUCUGGAGGAAUACCGGUGGCGAAGGCGGCAUCCUGGACCGGCAUUGACGCUGAGGAGCGAAAGCCAGGGGAGCAAACGGG